GAUGAACGCUGGCGGCGUGCCUAAUACAUGCAAGUCGAGCGAACAGACGAGGAGCUUGCUCCUCUGACGUUGGCGGCGGACGGGUGAGUAACACGUGGAUAACCUACCUAUAAGACUGGGAUAACUUCGGGAAACCGGAGCUAAUACCGGAUAAUAUAUUGAACCGCAUGGUUCAAUAGUGAAAGACGGUUUUGCUGUCACUUAUAGAUGGAUCCGCGCCGCAUUAGCUAGUUGGUAAGGUAACGGCUUACCAAGGCAACGAUGCGUAGCCGACCUGAGAGGGUGAUCGGCCACACUGGAACUGAGACACGGUCCAGACUCCUACGGGAGGCAGCAGCAGGGAAUCUUCCGCAAUGGGCGAAAGCCUGACGGAGCAACGCCGCGUGAGUGAUGAAGGUCUUCGGAUCGUAAAACUCUGUUAUUAGGGAAGAACAAAUGUGUAAGUAACUAUGCACGUCUUGACGGUACCUAAUCAGAAAGCCACGGCUAACUACGUG
Molecule: ribosomal RNA, 497 nt
Filed under: uncultured bacterium
Lineage: Bacteria
Description: partial 16S ribosomal RNA
Rfam family: Bacterial small subunit ribosomal RNA
Source: RNAcentral